AGACGACGCUGGCGGCGUGGAUUAGGCAUGCAAGUCGAACGGUAUCAUCCUUUCGGGGGUGAGAGAGUGGCGAACUGGUGAGUAACACGUAGGUUAUCUACCCUCAAGACGGGGACAAACCCAGGGAAACUUUGGGCUAAUACCGGAUGUGAGCAACUUUUAGUUGUUUGAAAGGUGGCGUAAGCUGUCGCUUGGGGAUGAGCCUGCGUCCUAUUAGUUAGUUGGUGAGGUAACGGCUCACCUAGGCAAUGAUAGGUAGGCGGCCUUAACGGGUGGUCGCCCACACUGGGAUUGAGAUACGGCCCAGACUCCUACGGGAGGCAGCAGUCGAGAAUAGUCUACAAUGGUCGGAAGACUGAUAGUGCGACGCCGCGUGAACGAUGAAUCCCUUCGGGGUGUAAAGUUCUUUUAUAUGUGAGCAGUGCUUCUUAUAUUAACAGUAUGGGGAGAGAGAUAUUAGCAUAUGAAUAAGCAACGGCUAACUCCGUG
Molecule: ribosomal RNA, 489 nt
Filed under: uncultured bacterium
Lineage: Bacteria
Description: bacterial SSU rRNA
Rfam family: Bacterial small subunit ribosomal RNA
Source: RNAcentral